GUGCAUGCUGGGCUAUAAUUUAUGAAACGGAGCCCAGGAAACAACCAAUCGUUUAGCUCCUCCUAACAAGUCCAACUGGCUAUGAAAAGCUGGAGGUGCUGCACAGAACAAUGAAGAGGAGCUAUCCCACAUACUAAUCUGCUUAUCCAGGAUUGCCUUCUGUGUAGAGAGAGGGAAGCAUGUAACAAGGAGAGGAAAAAAAAGAAAAAUCACAGCUUUGCUGUUGUUGAAAUAACUGAAUAAAUUUCAGCCUACAGGCAAGUCGUCCACUGUAUCAG
This is a long non-coding RNA of Buceros rhinoceros silvestris, 278 nucleotides long. It matches the Rfam family "Prostate androgen-regulated transcript 1 conserved region 2". The record is from Rfam. Lineage: Eukaryota; Metazoa; Chordata; Aves; Bucerotiformes; Bucerotidae.